CAAAGCACCACUUAAUUAGCUCCAAAAUGGCCAAUGAGUCCAAACCCAGUAAUGGCCGGCCGAAGUGCUUCUUUGCUUCUCUCAAAAACUGAUCGUUACAGUCAGCCAGCGGUGGUGGAGAUAGCUGAUGCUUUCGAUCAUUUGGGAUAUCGAUUAAGAGAAGAUUCCAGCAGCUCAAUGGUGACAACAACUUAAGAAUUGGGGUUUCUCUGCCACUUGCGAGCUAGGGAGGGAGAGAGAGUGGAAAACCAACUAAAGUUCGUCCAAAUCAAUUUGCGUUGCGUUUAAGCACGGCAAGAAAGAGAGUUGCAUCCAUUGACUCAAAGAUGGAGGGAUUCUCUUCAAGUUUCUUGCGGUACAAGUCAAAGAGCUCAUCUAAAAU
Molecule: long non-coding RNA, 382 nt
Organism: Rosa chinensis
Lineage: Eukaryota; Viridiplantae; Streptophyta; Magnoliopsida; Rosales; Rosaceae
Exons: 3
Source: RefSeq, a predicted model, not a curated record